CUCUUCAUCUGUUUCUCUUUCACUGAAACUGUAUUGGAGCAGGUUCUUUUGUUUGCAUGUUCUUGUGGAACUCUUUCAUUCCUUCAGCCUACAUUGGUAUUUCAACACUUUCCUUUGAUUGCAACCACUUGAACAGCAUCACAAAACACAGGAGGUCCCAAUGCUAACGUAAGGACCGGAUAGUUCCAGGCCAUCAGCCCAGUCGUUCACCCCAGGAAUCCUUCAGGUUCUUUUGUUUGCAUGUUCUUGUGGAACUCUUUCAUUCCUUCAGCCUACAUUGGUAUUUCAACACUUUCCUUUGAUUGCAACCACUUGAACAGCAUCACAAAACACAGGAGGUCCCAAUGCUAACGUAAGGUACCUCAGUCUUUCUCUUCUCCCAGGACCGGAUAGUUCCAGGUCCUCAGCCCAGUCGUUCACCCCAGGAAUCCUUCAGGUAGAGAUCAGUCGAGAUGGAGAAAGGUUAUCCCGGGGAUGGUACUUCUGCCCCUCACCCAGGACCUCCCAUGACCUAUGGGGGGACAGCCACGGACCAGGGCCCCCAGCCAGGCUUGUACCCCCAGCCCCCAGGCGGAUACCCUGCCUCCCCUGGUCCUCCACAACCAGGGUUCCAGCCUGGUCCCUACCAGGGAGGUGAGUGUCUACUGGUUCAUAUUGUACUUUAGAAGGCUGGAUUUACUGUAUAUUCUGUGUGUGAGAACCAAGCAUUUUCACAUGAGUUUUUGCAACAAACAAAUACCUCUUAGAAUGUUUGUUUCUAUAUUUUUUUCUUCUUCGCCAUUAUCAACUCCAUCUUAAAGACGACAGGACACACAACAAACUCUUCUAAAAUACACAUGUGGGUCUAUGGAGAUGAAUUGAACGUUCUCUGCCUCUUGUGGCAACUACUGUAGAUAUGAUACAAACAGCCCAAGCCAAGUAAGAACACACAACAACAGCUUGGUUGGUGGUUGUGUCUGUCUGUAUGUCUGUCCUGCUGUUUGGCUACACUGGUGGAGAAUGGAGGCAUUGGAAAUUACCCUAUUUCUUCAGUUCUCCCAAACCAUUCAAGCACUUAUAAAGUAUGAACAUACUGUUUCAAAAGUUCUCCGUGUUCUUUCCCCUUUGAAUCAUAUUGAUUGUGUUGUGGAUUACAGCACAGCAAACACUUACCUCCUUCAAGUACUAUUUUCAACACCACUUUGGAAACACUCCCCUUCAAUGUCAAUAAUGUGUGGUGCCAGAUGUGUGGAAAAACAGUCAAACACCUACGCACACAAUAAACCCUGACCAUUAUAUGUAGCUAUGCACAUUCUAGUAAUUUAUCACAGUACAUACUCUUAUCCAGACACAUGUAAACAAGCUCUUAUCAAGGGAAGAACAUGGGGUGGAACCCAUUGGAACUGGAACCCAUUGGAACUGGAAAUGGGGUGGAACCCAUUGGAACUGGAAAUUAAUUUUACUGGGGGUGAAUUUUGUUGAUGAUAUGGUGCAACUAUCUGAAUGAGUUUGCCCCCAGACCCCCAUUUGUGGGUUAACCCAGUUAAAAUGAUAGUUCAGCGAUGUUACAUAUUUAGACAAUUUUUUUCCUUACCUUGAAAGGAGUCUGAGCAAGCAACCUUCAACAACAGACUGCUUUCGAGGUAAGGAAACAAUAUCUAAAUGAAGGCAAACCGCUAUGUAAAGCUGUAAAACUCCCUUUAAUCAAGUCCAUUUCCACCACUGGGUACAAUCUUAUUCCGCAGUACGUGGUGGUAUAGUAAUAACAUGUUCAUUGCAUUGUGACCACAUUGUGAUUGGUAUCUUACUCUCCUAUUCAAGGUCCCCAAGCAGGUGUGUACACACCUCCACCACAGUACACCUCUGGACCAGGUGGACCGGUGCCAGUCGUGACCCAGGUAAUAAUGACUCCUAGCCUGAUGGAGGUCGGAGGUUCGACCAUGUGUCCCCACUGCCAGCAGCACGUGGUCACCAAGACAGAGACCAACACUGGCCUGCUCACCUGGCUCAUCUGUGGUGGCCUCUUCAUUGUUGGGUGCUGGCCAUGCUGCGCCAUUCCUUUCUGUGUAGACUCCUGUAAAGACGUGAAUCACAGCUGUCCCAACUGCAACAGAAUCAUCCACGUCUACAAACGCAUUUGAUAUUAAUUUGACCUGACUGUACUACCUUUAUCUGAAGGACUGGGACAUGGCACUUCAAUCAAAUCAACAUUUCUGUGAAUGUAUGAGGUUCGUAUUCACUAGGGCAUGUGAUGUUGGAAAAUGUUUUACAACGAAGAAACAAAAACUAAUUCUUAUUGGACAAGUCCAGAUAGUCCCUCCCUUUUUCAGUCCAUUUUCUUCCAUUUGGUGCCUAAUGAAUACAACCCAGGGGUCGCCAAAAGGGUUAUGUCUAUCCUAUAUAGUCCCUGAGCAGGUGGUGAGCUUCCCUCAGCUCCACAAAAUACUACAUAAUAAAUGCCAUUUAGCAGAUGCUUUUAUCCAUUUUUGUAUGGGUUGUCCUAGCAGAAAUUCAAACCCACAAGUGCCAAGCUCCAUCAGGUCCCUGGCUAGACUUGACCCUUGUAGUGACUACCAAAGAGAAUCCUGAUACCAAAGACUGGUAGUAGCUGCGCUAUAGCUGUUUCACUGUAGUUCUGUACUCGUCUGAAGUCCAUGAAAGUAAAGGAACUUCUAAACCACUCUUCUUAUUGUAAUAUUGUUACAUUGAGAUGUAUAUAUCACUUCUUAUUGUAAUAUUGUUACAUUGAGAUGUAUAUAUCACUUCUUAUUGUAAUAUUGUUACAUUGAGAUGUAUAUAUCACCAUCACUUCUUAUUGUAAUAUUGUUACAUUGAGAUGUAUAUAUCACCAUCAUACUUCUUAUUGUAAUAUUGUUACAUUGAGAUGUAUAUAUCACCAUCAUACUUCUUAUUGUAAUAUUGUUACAUUGAGAUGUAUAUAUCACCAUCAUACUUCUUAUUGUAAUAUUGUUACAUUGAGAUGUAUAUAUCACCAUCAUACUUCUUAUUGUAAUAUUGUUACAUUGAGAUGUAUAUAUCACCAUCAUACUUCUUAUUGUAAUAUUGUUACAUUGAGAUGUAUAUAUCACCAUCACUUCUUAUUGUAAUAUUGUUACAUUGAGAUGUAUAUAUCACCAUCACUUCUUAUUGUAAUAUUGUUACAUUGAGAUGUAUAUAUCACCAUCACUUCUUAUUGUAAUAUUGUUACAUUGAGAUGUAUAUAUCACUUCUUAUUGUAAUAUUGUUACAUUGAGAUGUAUAUAUCACCAUCACUUCUUAUUGUAACAUUGUUACAUUGAGAUGUUUUGUUAUUACACUCUUGCAGUCGUUCCCUCACCGAUCCUGUUCUCUUUUUUCCUCUGAACGUUCUACUACUCAUUUGUCAUAAAAGACCAUUGUCAAUAAUUACAAUGGAUCUUAUGGUUGUCUUUUCACUUCCUGUCUAGUUGCUCUGUAAAGCUCUGAUUAAAGUUGACUGUAUUGAA
This is an RNA transcript of Oncorhynchus kisutch (coho salmon), 3464 nucleotides long. It is a transcript of the gene named lipopolysaccharide-induced tumor necrosis factor-alpha factor homolog, with no coding region annotated. NCBI's taxonomy places the organism in Eukaryota, Metazoa, Chordata, Actinopteri, Salmoniformes, Salmonidae. The transcript is spliced from 7 exons. The record is from RefSeq and is a predicted model, not a curated record.